CAUGGGAGUGAAGAGGCAGAGGAUCACCGUGAGGAGUGAGUCGCCGGUCGACUAUGCCGCUGAAGCGAGGUACCAGCUCGAGGAGAUCUCCAAGCUCACCUCCAGCUAGAAGAAGAUGCAAGAGGAGUAUGCCUGCUCCCCUUGAGGAGACUCCCAAGCUCACCGCCGCCUGCUGGAAGAAGAUGCAAGAGUAUUGCCUGCCUGCUCCCCUUGAGGAGAUAUGAGACAUCCAGGCUCACCGCUUUGCUAGAUGAAGCCAUGUUUUGGCCCCAAGUUUCCUGAAGUGUAGUGCUGCUUCAGCUGUGUCUUUCUGCCGUGUCGCUCCUCAAAUGUAGUGAUCACUUAAAAACGCUUUUGCUGUCCUGUGUUAUAUAUGUAGACGUUCGGUUUGGAGGACAUCGGAGUAUUCUUCUGUUCUAUCUGUUUGAUCUGCAAAUUCCUUCUCCAUCAGACAAGCAUGAAUGCAGAUCCACUGCUAGCUGAUGUUAAACAUAUGUUCUGAACAAGUGUCCUCGUGGCUUAGUAUGCAAGAAUCACUGCACUAUU
RNAcentral lists this long non-coding RNA (546 nucleotides) under Triticum aestivum (bread wheat). Its description in RNAcentral is "long non-coding RNA (TAES_LNC003541)". The record is from RNAcentral. Lineage: Eukaryota; Viridiplantae; Streptophyta; Magnoliopsida; Poales; Poaceae.